Molecule: ribosomal RNA, 451 nt
Filed under: uncultured bacterium
Lineage: Bacteria
Description: partial 16S ribosomal RNA
Rfam family: Bacterial small subunit ribosomal RNA
Source: RNAcentral
AGCGAACGCUGGCGGCAUGCCUAACACAUGCAAGUCGCACGGGGGGGCUUCGGCCUCCCAGUGGCGGACGGGUGAGGAACGCGUAGGGACCUGUCGAGGGGUGGGGGAUAACCGCGGGAAACUGCGGCUAAUACCGCAUGACGCCGCGGCGUGACAGCCGGGGCCAAAGGCGAAAGCCGCCCGCCGAGGGGCCUGCGUCCGAUUAGCUGGUUGGCGGGGUAGCGGCCCACCAAGGCGUCGAUCGGUAGCUGGUCUGAGAGGGUGAUCAGUCACACCGGGACUGAGACACGGCCCGGACUCCUACGGGAGGCAGCAGUGGGGAAUAUUGGACAAUGGGCGCAAGCCUGAUCCAGCAAUGCCGCGUGGGUGAAGAAGGUCUUCGGAUUGUAAAGCCCUUUCGGCGGGGACGAUGGUGACGGUACCCGCAGAAGAAGCCCCGGCUAACUUCGUG